RNAcentral lists this ribosomal RNA (425 nucleotides) under uncultured bacterium. RNAcentral describes it as "partial 16S ribosomal RNA". It matches the Rfam family "Bacterial small subunit ribosomal RNA", at positions 354 to 796 of the family's 1533-position model. The record is from RNAcentral.
GUGGGGAAUAUUGGACAAUGGGCGAAAGCCUGAUCCAGCCAUGCCGCGUGAGUGAUGAAGGCCCUAGGGUUGUAAAGCUCUUUCACCGGUGAAGAUAAUGACGGUAACCGGAGAAGAAGCCCCGGCUAACUUCGUGCCAGCAGCCGCGGUAAUACGAAGGGGGCUAGCGUUGUUCGGAAUUACUGGGCGUAAAGCGCACGUAGGCGGACUAUUAAGUCAGGGGUGAAAUCCCGGGGCUCAACCCCGGAAGUGCCGUUGAUACUGGGUGGCUCGAGUGCGGAAGAGGGGAGUGGAAUUCCGAGUGUAGAGGUGAAAUUCGUAGAUAUUCGGAGGAACACCAGUGGCGAAGGCGGCUCACUGGUCCGGUACUGACGCUGAGGUGCGAAAGCGUGGGGAGCAAACAGGAUUAGAAACCCUUGUAGUCC